This 76-nucleotide transfer RNA is filed under the name Aquaspirillum soli. Its description in RNAcentral is "tRNA-Met". It matches the Rfam family "tRNA". Rfam says of the family: Transfer RNA (tRNA) molecules are approximately 80 nucleotides in length. RNAcentral also lists the same sequence under 2 other names. Lineage: Bacteria; Pseudomonadati; Pseudomonadota; Betaproteobacteria; Neisseriales; Aquaspirillaceae. The record is from RNAcentral.
CGCGGGAUGGAGCAGUUGGAAGCUCGUCGGGCUCAUAACCCGAAGGUCGCAGGUUCGAGUCCUGCUCCCGCAACCA